Molecule: long non-coding RNA, 998 nt
Filed under: Cricetulus griseus (Chinese hamster)
Lineage: Eukaryota; Metazoa; Chordata; Mammalia; Rodentia; Cricetidae
Description: lncRNA (ENSCGRG00015029998.1)
Source: RNAcentral
CUUGCUGUUCAGACUGCUGCCACGCUGGCUGGCUAGGUCACUCUUUUCAGAGGUUCAGUUCAUUAUCAUCAUGGUGGGGAGCAUGGAGGCGUGAGGAAGCUGUGAUGCUGGAGAAAAAGCUGAGAGCCUUAUGUGGUGAUAUCUUGUUCCUCCCCGCUUGUAUCCUGUUUCUGACCAGCUAUGUCACUUCCCGUCUCUCUUACAGACCUCUAGACCUCUAUGGUUUAUACUUCCAGUGGUGAAAUUUGGGUGAUUUUAACAGCAUCAAGAAAGUGGCUACUAGCUUAAUAAGUUGCACUCUGGAAAAUUUCUUUGCUAAUGAAAAGCCUGCUGUGACCCAAGUUCUAUAGACUGGUGACCAUCCUGCUUGUGCCCUGCUCAGAGUCACCUGAGGCCUGGGAACUACUCACUCGGGCACCCAUCCAGGUGGUCCAGCCCAUCCAGAGACUGCCAGGGUCCUGAUUCCGUCUCCACCCAGUGGAAGAGGAGAACCAUCGGAGUAUUGGACCUACUCGCACCCACUGGAUGGGAACCUUGGACCCAUACCCAUCAGGAGAAACUCCACCUGUACCCACUGGAAGAAGGGCUGGAAAGAAGGCAACAUAAAAACACAUUCAACAAUAGAAAAAACAAUAAGACACCACCAGAGUCUAGGGACUCUACACCAGCAAGACCUGAUGAACAACACAGUGCAGAUGAAGCAGAAGACAAUGACCUUAAAAACAAUUUAAUGAAAAUGAUAGAGGUCCUCAAAGAGGAUAUGAGAAAAUCCAUUGAAGAAAUGGAAGAAAAUUGUAUAAGUUGAAUUGAGAAUUUAAUUUCUUAUUAUAUUAUCUUGACAAAAUCUUAAAUAAAUGUUAUAAAACAUCAGAUUUUAAUUUUUCUGAAAAUUGUACAUAUUUUAAUUUUAACCUUACAAAAUAUGCACAUAUAAUAAAUUAUAUCUAUUUAAUUACUAUGAUUUAAUGGUGGAUUUUAUCAUUUUAAUUAAUGUGGUG